RNAcentral lists this long non-coding RNA (454 nucleotides) under Phoenix dactylifera (date palm). RNAcentral describes it as "long non-coding RNA (PDAC_LNC022593)". Lineage: Eukaryota; Viridiplantae; Streptophyta; Magnoliopsida; Arecales; Arecaceae. The record is from RNAcentral.
AAGUCGGUUUUACCGACGCUUUUUUGCCGACGCUUUUUACAAGCGUCGGCAAUUUUCGGUCUAGCGUCAAAAUUUGCCGACGCUUGUAAAAAGCGUGGGCAAAAGACGACGCUAAUAAGCGUCGGUGUAGUCUCCGGCCUAAGACGACGCUAAAAAGCGUCGUCGGAAGCCAACGCACCAGGCUAAAUCCCAACCCUCUUCUGACCACCCCCGUCGGAAGCUUCCCUCACACACCAGUCUCUCUCUCUCUACCCUCGAGCCUCAUCUCUCUCAUCCCUCCUCCCUCCUCUCUCCGGGUUUCCGUUUUCCCGGCCACCGCCCUCCUCUCUCUAUUUAACCACGAAGGCCACGAAGGCCGAGAUGAAGGCCAUGGCGCUGUGGCAGUUGGCCAAGAACAACCCUUCCAUCUGCAAGAGCAUCACCGAGUCCCGCGCCCUCCUCUGCUUCGCCGUCC